UACAAGUGGCAAGGAAGCUUAAUACUGGUGAAAGACGUUGUACAGCGUGAUACCCAUGAGCUACCUGAUUGUUGUGGCAAAACAACUUUGAUUUCCACUUACGUGUUAUCACUGACUUUCUGAGCAACAGCCACUGGAAUCAUGACCUGCAGUAUCCAAUUCUACAUAAAAGAAAGGUGAAUCUCACUGUAUUUAUGAGAAACAUAUGCCUUGAAAAUGAGGAAGUGCUGCGGAGACUGUGAUGGUUGUAUCUCUGUAAGUAAUUUAGUCACUGUACUCUAGUAUUGGACACAUGUGGAACGACUUGGUAGCGAGACAUUUCCCAGAAUGUUCAGCUGUUUCACCAGUGCUGUCUGCAUGGAGGCUGCUUCUCUGUAUUCCCGUUUGCUAGAUCAGCAGCAUUUAACAGGAAACCAUGUAUUUUGUAAAAAUCUUUUCUGAACUGAAGGUGAUCUGUGGAGUUUUUGGAGCCAAGCAUGAGCAAUAUUCUUCUUUCUCCAUAUGUAGGAGUGC
Nothoprocta perdicaria is the source of this 513-nucleotide long non-coding RNA. RefSeq lists it as uncharacterized. The transcript is spliced from 4 exons. NCBI's taxonomy places the organism in Eukaryota, Metazoa, Chordata, Aves, Tinamiformes, Tinamidae. The record is from RefSeq and is a predicted model, not a curated record.